Molecule: long non-coding RNA, 6063 nt
Organism: Centrocercus urophasianus (Greater sage-grouse)
Lineage: Eukaryota; Metazoa; Chordata; Aves; Galliformes; Phasianidae
Exons: 3
Source: RefSeq, a predicted model, not a curated record
CGACGAGGCACGAGAAAGGAAAGUCCCCGGCUCGUUUACUUUUCGUACCCCGCUCGGAGAUUAACGCCAUUCCUAGCGCAGCAGCGGCACUGGAAGGUCGUCUGCAAUCGCGGCUUCCUCCCUUUCGGACCUUGCACAGAAAGUGACGCUGACGGCUCCAAGCGCGGCUGGCCUCGUUUCUUAAAACCAUUCACCUGCACGCAGACCUGGCCCGCGUUCGUGAAGAUGCCGUCUCGCCGAAGUACGCGUUAGCACAACUAGCACCAGCUGUGCCGCACCUUCCUCCCCCGCCCCGGGGCCGCACGCCCUGCCGGCAGCUCCCAGCCCCGUGCUGCUGCUGGGCUGAGAGCCCGGAGAUGGAAGAGAGCUUUCCUAAGGGUCCAGUCCUAGGCUGGAAUCCUUCUUUCCGCCUUCUCUGAGAAACCGCAGAAAGGAGACGUACUGAUAAGCACGGAGACGGCGGGCGGUGCGAGAACGGGACGGGCAGGAGGGCACGAAACGACCGCGGGCAGCGCUCAACGCCUUCCAGCUGCAGCCCCCCGAACCCAGGGUAGGGCUGGUUUUGCUCGAUUAUACCGGGGCUCCAGCAGCAAACCGAAGCAAUAAAUAAAUCCAAGCCUAUAACAGCUGGUGGCUGAAGAAGGGUAAUUAGGGACUGAAAGCUACUGGAAUCAAAUUAGAGACUGUCCUGGAAAACAGGGAUGGUCGGAGCCAAAAGAACGAAAGGGAGGCGGAGCACAAGGGAGUUUCCUGUAAUUCCCAGAACAGGCACCUUAGCAGAAGAGGGCCUUUUCAUCCUAGCUUUGCAGUCCCUGAGAAUUCUAAAACACACUUCCAGCAUCAGUGCAAUUAACGCAUCAAUUAAUACAAAUCUCACCAGAUAAACAUGAAAAAAUGACAUUUAACACAGGUAGGAACGUGUCAGACAUUUAAUCCUCAUUGCAGCUCUCCUAUUGCAGCCCUGGUCAGGGUCCCAGCUGAACACCGGAGCCAAGGUUGGGCAGGUGAGGGGCAGAAGACAGCAGAGCUGCAUUACCCAGCCCUGGGCAGUUUGGUUCAGCGUUACAAAGGCUGACAAAAGCAAUAAAGUAUUUGCCGUCGUGGGCAGAAAAUAAGUCCAUCUUAAAGACAGAGAACUCAUGCAACUGGUAGCAGCCCUCAAUAAAAUACUUAGAAGUCAAAGCAAAGCAGAAGGAAUGCAUUUUGUCCCAGUGCCCUGUACUUGCACAGCUCUCCCCCUCCUCCUCGCCCAGCUAUUCUUCAGCUAACUAACAGAGCUCCACUAUUGUUGAGGCCAUGCUGGCACAGAAAAGCACCAUUCAAUUUAGGCAUGUAUGUGGACAUGUGCCAGACCUCCUUACACUGUCAAAGAAAAAACCUUACAAAGUCUAUAUCCAUAGGGCGUUGUGGCAACCACGUGUGAAUGCAGAACGAUGAAACCAAAAACCUUCCUGGGCAGACUUGCCAAUUCUCUCACACUGCAAACCCCCCGGUACAUCUGCAAGCCUGCAAGAUUAGCACUGCUGAAGUCUGAAGUCCCACCUUCCAGAGUUGAGAACAAUAACUUCCUCUCCACUGUGUAGUAGAUGCUGGGAGGCCAUCUGGGUAUAAGGUUAGAAACAGAGAUGAAGCCUUCAUCAGGGAGGAGGCAGCAUUCAGGGCGAGGCGGCUUCCACGCAUCAGUGCUAAAGAGAAGGUCUAAAGCAUCACAGAGCUGAAGACCAAAAUGACAAAGAAGCCACAGCCACACUCUGCAGCGGGCAACGUUAGGUACUUCAGUGAGUUCAAAGCAUUGUCACUUGGAAACAAACAGCUUCCAUCUUGCUACAUCUAAUAUCAGUCAAGUCCAUUUCAUCCAAGUUGUCAUAUGACAGGAUGAGAACAAGGGCAGUCUGGCAACAGCAUUGCUUGCAUUAGAAGUAAAGGACAAAGGAAGCCUCAUGUCACCACAUAUAGGUUGCAGUCGAAUGAAUGCCCUAUGUUUCUGCCUAGCAGCUUCACUUAGAUAAGAAUCAACUACAUCUUACAGGAUUAAAAAUAGAAAAAAUAACUUCCCGUUUUAAGAAAAAAAUUAAGAUAGCAUUACAUUUAUAAAGGAAUGACAACAGCGAGGAAAAAAUCAGAUUUAAGGUUGGGGCUGUGGCCAUAAUUCCAUAUUGUAGUUAUUGGAAAGGAAAACAAAGGCACUGCAAAGCAUGAAAACCCAGCACUGCUCAUCUUUCAUUCCUGAGAUUUUUUUAUUCCUCCCCUCCCUGCCCUCAGAUUUUCCAGAUGAUUUGUGCCACAUUUCGAGCUGAACAUUACAGUCACUUGCUCAGAAGAUCAACAUACAGCAUUCUCUCAUUCAGAGGGGAAAAAGACUGGUUUCUCAUUAAUGUACAGGACUGAUAGAUGCCUAUGCAAUCAACUCAUUUUUAUGAUCCUUUUCAAACUAAUUACUGUCUUCCUCAAACCAAAACCUGAACAUGCUUGGGUUCUUCUUUCCUGAAGAGAGAAGCAAGGUCUUUGUGUAUGGCAUUUUGUUCCAGAGAAGCAUUCUUAUACUUGAAAUACUUGCAUAUAGAGAAUAAGACUGCAAGAAGAAAAAAGAGCCAAUCAAGCUGCUUCAGAAACAAGGAGAGUGGAGCUCUUCUCAGUCUUUUAACUACAGAACUCUAAAAACCUUCCCCCACCAGCAGCGAAAGGCACACGCUGCUUCAGUGCCUAAAGUGAGCUCAGGCAGUAACCUAUAGUACUCCCAGUCACCACAACUAUGGCUCAAAAAAUAACCUCUUCAGCUAGUAAUUUGAUAGCUUAGAAACGGGAAGCAGCUUUUAUAUACGCAUAUACACACACACCUCAAGCAUAAACUCUGACAUUCACUUGGAGGAAGGCUAUCAUUACAGCUGGCGCUCAGCCCCGGGCCGCCCAUGGCCACCGCUGGCCGUUCUGCUCUCAGUCACUCCGAUGACUUCAGUGAGCGAAUCCACGGCCACGACGAAGAAAGCAAAGGAAGCAAAGGAAGCAAGAGCCUCACAGAGCCAUGAGCAGCACGGCCUGAAGUAAUGAAAGGCUCAGCCUUUACCAGCAACGUUGCAAUCCAACUGCCACUCUUUUUCUGAGUAAAUUCUCAGGAGUAUAUAGAUACCCACAGCAGCAGAAAUGGAAUUGAAGAAAACUUUUGGUUUUAAAAGCCUUUGGGUCCAAAACCACCACUUUGCUUACACACUACUCCUAUGGUUUGUGCAAAGCACGGCAGCUGCAGCAUGGGGAUCUGCGAGGGAACGGCGCCCAGGGACCAACAGCCUUCUGUUGCCUGAUGGGGAUGAGGGCACGUGCACAGAUCACAGCCCGUGCUGACAGCAAAGUCUCGUCAAAGAACUGACAGAGGGUACAGAAAGGUUCUGUGAGGAUUUGGAAUACACUGCCUGAUCUUGCAAGUCUCACACAUCGUGCAGAGAAUAGGUGCAUGCUGCAAGCUGGAUUCCUUGUCAAUGUGUUUCUCUUAUCUGUAGUUCUAGAAGAAAACAUUUCUACUGGCAGAGAAAUGAAGCUAUGGAAAAUCAUGAAACUGAAUUUGUCAUUCAAAUAAAAUAAUUUUAAAUUAAUGGUGGCAAUAUUCUAAGCCAAAAAAGGUUAACAGAUGCAGCAAAUUAUUCUCACUUUCACACAUCUUGGUUAACAAAGUAAUACCCUUGCCUUUCAAUUGCUUCCAAAACAUCAUUCAAUAAAAAAGUCCCCUAUAACAAAGGAAGUUGAGCCUUUCCAAGUCCAAUGAAACCACAAAAAUAUUUCUGAAGCCAUCAGGGAAAAUGCGGCCAUUGCUUUUUACAAUUCAACUGCUCUCCUGCUGACAGACAUCAGAUGGCCCUUUGGAAUUCAGCAGAGCAUGCACUUCAGAGAAGCGAAGCAGGGAGGUGAGGUACUGCUGAUGAUGAAGAUGAGAUACUCUGCAAAAGCAUCUUGGUGCUAAUAGGUGCAUUCCCAGCCUGUCUAUGUGAACGUAUCAAAUGGCCUUACAUGAAGACUGAAGAACAACCUAAAGAGAGAAGCUACAGCGAAAAACAGGAAAACCAGGAAGUGCAAAUUCUGACAGAUUACCACUCGAUUCCAUCUUUCAGAGGCUCUCAAACGCUGCACACCACGACGUCUGCCGCACCAACCCUGUUCUUGUUUAGCUUUUUGCUCUCACAUUCUUCCUGCAAAACUGGAAGCAGGUUCUAUGAUUCCUCUUGGAUUCCUCUUGGCUAAUCCCAGGCAGAAAGGCAAACAGCAGGAGCUCCUCAAGCUCACAGGGUUGUAAUAAGCCACGCUGUCACUUUGGAAACUGCAUUUGAGGCAUCUGCAGUAAUACUCCAGCUGAAUUCCUGUAAGAUGCAUGCUGGCUCAGCAGCACUGCCCUACGCCACCAGCAGUUCUUUGCCCACGAAUUCCCUGCACCCAGGUCCCACUACUACUGAGCUAUCAGCAGAUGAUCCCAACUCUCCUGUAAACCUGGAGGUGCUCCUUUCGUACAGAUGAGACAAUGGUCAGAAAAAAGGAGGCAAAAGCUCCAGCCUCCGAGCUCAACUCAGCAGUAUCAUUCCCAACACAGUGGAAGCCAGAGGUAGGAUCACACCUCAUGCAUGGAGAGCAUCACAUUCCUCUAAAAACAGCUGAGUAACAGCUUCUGGCUCCUCUUCAUGCUGGGAUUCAUUGGGACUCAUUGGGACAGCAGUUACCUCUCAGCCCACACCAAGUUCUCUUGCAGAGCUGCAGACUCAUUCUCCCAUGGGAAUCGUGUUCCCAAGUCCCCACCCCCUGCAUCCUUUGAAUAGUUGCAGAUACACAGAAUCUGAAACCUGACCCUGGUCGUUCCUAGCCAUUCACUGAGACUACUCUAACUGUGCUGAAUUUGCAAACCAAACUAAUGGCACAGCUACUGUGUGUGCUCCACAGGGAAAAAGAAGAUGGGAGCUUAAUUACAAAGGUGGGGAGCUGAGAGCAGUGGCACCAGCAUGGGGAAUGGGAAAUAGCACUGCAGUGCCAGGGAGCUGUCAUGAACCUACAGCUUUGUUGUCUGUACUCAGCCUUACUUGUAAGGCAAAUAGUGCACGCCUUUCUCUGUGUUGUCAGUCCCCUAUAAUUGCCCAAAUGUGUUAUAUAACAAAGGAAAAAAUGCUCUAGAGCCAAGAAGUACCACAAACCAAGCAAUUAAAUAGAAUUUUGCACACUAAGCAGGGAUGAAACUGCAUUCUGUAUGAAGUAGGGAGAGAGAAGAAAGGAAGCUGAGGCUCGGUGCAGCUCACAAUCCUUUUUCUUCUUCUCUGCAGAUGUUCAAACAUAUUCAACACUAAUGCACCCAUGUUCUUACUGCAGUAUACUGGAAAUGCUUUCUAAAUUCUAACAGUACACACAAUGCCAUGCGAAAGAAUCUUAAGUGUAAUGAAACACAGAAAAGUUACUGUCGGGCCCGAACUCUAGCUUAGAAAAGUUAACGUGAAGGUAUUUCCUUAGAAGCACAAUUUGACCUAACCUGGUGUAUGUGUUUAUGUAUGUACACACACUCAGUUCUCAUCAUGAGCUUCCAUCUUUUACGUGAAACUGACUCUCAAUUCACAAAUCACUGUGGGCAGAAGUCACAGAUACCUCUGAUUGACAUAAGAACUGAAGAACAUCAGUGCUUAAUUACGGCCACAAAGUACCUCUCUGAGUAGCAAUGGGGAAAGUCUUUGAAUGCAAACAUUUCUGUUCAGCUCCCCAGCUUUGACAGCUUUUCUACAACCCAUGAAGCCAUGCCAAUUUAAACCAACUCAGGAGCUCUGUGUUUAAUAAGUUUCUUGUGUCUGAUGCUUUGUUAGAAAGACAAUAUUCUUUAUUAUUAGAAAGUUAUGGUCUGUAUGGUUAGCCAUCCAGUGAUAACAUCCCAGCUUCGAGCAUUCAGCCUCCAAUAGUACAUGCCCUACACUCACUUUCAUAUCUUCUCCCCCUCCAACUUCAGUUCCAACUGUGAAGAGCAGCAGAAGGCUGACUUGAAAAGAAGCAAAAUAGAACCAGGAGGAUUAGAGCAAAUGCCUCACACAUGAAGAGUAUUAAAAUUUACCA